UGAGGAAUAUUGGUCAAUGGCCGAGAGGCUGAACCAGCCAAGUCGCGUGAGGGAAGAAUGUCCUAUGGAUUGUAAACCUCUUUUGUCAGGGAGCAAAGUCACCCACGUGUGGGUGUUGGAGAGUACCUGAAGAAAAAGCAUCGGCUAACUCCGUGCCAGCAGCCGCGGUAAUACGGAGGAUGCGAGCGUUAUCCGGAUUUAUUGGGUUUAAAGGGUGCGUAGGCGGGUUAUCAAGUCAGCGGUAAAAUCGUGGAGCUCAACUCCAUCCAGCCGUUGAAACUGAUGAUCUUGAGUGGGCGAGAAGUAUGCGGAAUGCGUGGUGUAGCGGUGAAAUGCAUAGAUAUCACGCAGAACUCCGAUUGCGAAGGCAGCAUACCGGCGCCCGACUGACGCUGAAGCACGAAAGCGUGGGUAUCGAACAGG
RNAcentral lists this ribosomal RNA (423 nucleotides) under uncultured bacterium. RNAcentral's name for it is "bacterial SSU rRNA". It matches the Rfam family "Bacterial small subunit ribosomal RNA", at positions 355 to 776 of the family's 1533-position model. RNAcentral also lists the same sequence under 1 other name. The record is from RNAcentral.